This 389-nucleotide ribosomal RNA is filed under the name uncultured bacterium. Its description in RNAcentral is "bacterial SSU rRNA". It matches the Rfam family "Bacterial small subunit ribosomal RNA", at positions 28 to 417 of the family's 1533-position model. The record is from RNAcentral.
GACGAACGCUGGCGGCGUGCUUAACACAUGCAAGUCGAGCGGUAAGGCCCUUUCGGGGGUACACGAGCGGCGAACGGGUGAGUAACACGUGGGUGACCUGCCCUUAGCUCUGGGAUAAAGCCUGGGAAACUGGGUCUAAUACCGGAUAUGACUCCAUGACGCAUGUUGUGGGGUGGAAAGCCUUGUGCGGCUAGGGAUGGGCCCGCGGCCCAUCAGCUUGUUGGUGGGGUGAUGGCCUACCAAGGCGACGACGGGUAGCCGGCCUGAGAGGGCGACCGGCCACACUGGGACUGAGACACGGCCCAGACUCCUACGGGAGGCAGCAGUGGGGAAUCUUGCGCAAUGGGCGAAAGCCUGACGCAGCGACGCCGCGUGAGGGAUGACGGCCU